AUGGUCCUAUCAGUGUGGAAGGUGUGGGCUCCCCCGCGGUGCAAAUUUUUCGCAUGGUUUGUACUUCAAGAUAGAAUCUGGACAUCAGACCGCCUUGCUCGACGUGGGUGGCCCAACUGCGGGCUAUGCCCGCUUUGCAAGCAAAGCCCUGAGACGGCAGCCCACUUACUGUUCCAAUGUCGCUACACCCUUCGUGUGUGGAACGAUAUUCUUCGCUGGCUUGGCAUGGAUCACACUCAUGCUACUACUUGGUCAGCGAGGGGCUCGGUGUGGGAAUGGUGGAAUGGAAACGUAUAUCUUCGCUCUGAAUCCCCCAAGACGCUCGCCUCAAUAAUGAUGCUUAUCUCCUGGGAAAUUUGGACGGAGCGCAAUGCUAGAGGUUUUCGCAACACGGCCGCACCUACGAUGGUCGUCAUUAGUAAGAUAAAAGAGGAGGUGUCGCUUUGGGCGUUGGCGGGCGCCAAGCAUUUGAGUGUUGUAAUGCCGCGAGAGUAG
Molecule: ribosomal RNA, 495 nt
Filed under: Triticum aestivum (bread wheat)
Lineage: Eukaryota; Viridiplantae; Streptophyta; Magnoliopsida; Poales; Poaceae
Description: partial small subunit ribosomal RNA
Source: RNAcentral